Ochotona curzoniae (black-lipped pika) is the source of this 417-nucleotide long non-coding RNA. RefSeq lists it as uncharacterized. The record is from RefSeq and is a predicted model, not a curated record. The transcript has 4 exons. NCBI's taxonomy places the organism in Eukaryota, Metazoa, Chordata, Mammalia, Lagomorpha, Ochotonidae.
CCCCCACACCCCCAACCCCGGGCCGGGAGGCCGGCCCGCCCGCCCACGGCUGGCCUCCCCAGGCCGCAUUCUUGCGCCAAGUGCGAAAGGCUGUGGGAAAAGCAGUCCUGAACCGGCCAAGAGCCGGCGAAGCUGAUCCCGCGAUGGCAUUUUGUUUUGAACAGUUCCUGGGGUUGACGUUUCCUCAUAAGGUCAAUUUCAUGAAUUCAAAGGCAAAUUACCAGUGAUUUCUGGGUGCUGGGGCUGACGUUUUUGUGUGUGUAAUUGAAAGAAACUGCAAACAUUUUUCUAUGCUUCCAUCUCAGGAUGCUGCAAUCAGUGUGUCCAGCAAAAUAGAUGAAAAGAGAAUAGAGAUAAUGUUCCUGUGAAGUUUGAGGUUGAAUUCUGCAGGGCCAAAUGGAAGAUAUGGUUCAAUGG